Aegilops tauschii subsp. strangulata is the source of this 1185-nucleotide long non-coding RNA. RefSeq lists it as uncharacterized. NCBI's taxonomy places the organism in Eukaryota, Viridiplantae, Streptophyta, Magnoliopsida, Poales, Poaceae. The record is from RefSeq and is a predicted model, not a curated record.
GUCAUCACAGCGAACCACACUGGAGUCAACGGCGCCCUCCUCCCUCUCCUCUGCGCCCGCCGAUGCGGGCCGCGUCUUCGUGUCCUCGGCCAUGCUGCCAGCGGCAGCGAUGCGGUCUGGCGUCUGUGCCGUCGGAGUUCCCGUCUUCUCCCCUGCAUCGCGAGCGCAGUGCCGGCCUGCCUACGUCGGGGUUGCUCGCCACAUGGCCGACCCGGAGGUGGAGACGCUGUGACCAGAUUCAUGUAUAGCCAUCUCUCUGGAAUUCUGGAGUGGCCUGUGGACGAGCAGGAGUAGCUGUCUCACUUCUCAAGUUUCUACUGCAGACCGUCCGCAGAAGACGCCGAUAUAGAUCCAUCGCCAGCGUAUAUCCUUUUUGCAAGUUAUGGGUACCUGCAUGCGUCCCUCCCAAUUACAACCAGAAUUUCUAUAACAUACUAGAUGUGAUGGCUUCAGAAAUCAGGCGAUUCAGACAGAGAUGUCGGUGACAGCUGGAGGCUUCCAACAUCUCGCCAAAACAAACUGCCGAGUGCCUACUGCCUAACAAAGAUCCAAAGAACUAGCUCGACUGGACUCUAGAUCACGGACAAUUAGUCUUGGCACUUAAUUAGGAUGACUAAAUUACAUUUAAGUUUCAUUUGAUGGAUAUUUGCUAUGAGAAUUAUGAAUCUACAUAUUAUACAUAUGGUUUUGAAUAUUGUAAUUGAAUGCUUGUAUUUUUUUUACGAUUGCAAUAGGCUAUUACAGCAACCCACUUUCGGUUGCCACAUGUUAGCACCAUGAAAAGUUUAAAUGGUCGCAAUAGUUUUUCGCUACAAACAUUUCACCCGUUGUGAUACCAAUUUAUCACCACCAAAACUAGUAUGUUGCAAUUUCCUGUUACAACGACUGAAAUAUUUGUUGCCAUAAGUUAAUGCCACAAGUGUAGCGGUUCGUAGCAAAAUGCCUAAUGCCACGGAAACAAGGAUUGUUGCAAUAGUUUAUUGCGACAAUUAACUAUUGCCAUGGAAGAGUAUGCGCCACGAAACGAACGUCGUUGGCAUAGGAUGUUGCCACAAAUGUCUAUCGCCAGAAGCUAUCAGUCGCGAUGAUUCGUUACAUGUUGCAUUAAAGCUAUCUCCACAAAGCAAAUUGUGGCAUCAGGUGAGUGUUGCCACGAGAAAACAUGUGGCGACUUCCCACAUGGUU